RNAcentral lists this long non-coding RNA (266 nucleotides) under Fukomys damarensis (Damara mole-rat). RNAcentral's name for it is "lncRNA (ENSFDAG00000022370.1)". The record is from RNAcentral. Lineage: Eukaryota; Metazoa; Chordata; Mammalia; Rodentia; Bathyergidae.
GCUCCAGCAAGGAAGCAUAUCUAGGCCUAGUCAGUGGGAUGGGUGGCUGCACCCUCCCCUGCCUGCCCCAUCAGCUCCAGCAAGGACGGUGAGAUCUGGGAUGCUGCUCUGAGAUCCCUUCUCCCUGCGGCUUGCUGGGCAUAAGUCAUCAGGACCAGGAGGCCGUGCCCUCCCCAGCCUGCCUGGCCAUCAUUUCCAGCAAGGAAGCUUCAACAAGGAAGCUGCAGCAAGGAAGGUGAGAUCGAGGAUGCUGCUCAGAGAUCCCU